Molecule: ribosomal RNA, 524 nt
Filed under: uncultured bacterium
Lineage: Bacteria
Description: partial 16S ribosomal RNA
Rfam family: Bacterial small subunit ribosomal RNA
Source: RNAcentral
GACGAACGCUGGCGGCGUGCCUAAUACAUGCAAGUCGAGCGCAGGAAGCCGUCUGAACCCUUCGGGGGGACGACGGUGGAAUGAGCGGCGGACGGGUGAGUAACACGUAAAGAACCUGCCCAUAGGUCUGGGAUAACCACGAGAAAUCGGGGCUAAUACCGGAUGUGUCAUCGGACCGCAUGGUCCGCUGAUGAAAGGCGCUCCGGCGUCGCCCAUGGAUGGCUUUGCGGUGCAUUAGCUAGUUGGUGGGGUAACGGCCCACCAAGGCGACGAUGCAUAGCCGACGUGAGAGGGUGAGCGGCCACACUGGGACUGAGACACGGCCCAGACUCCUGCGGGAGGCAGCAGUAGGGAAUCUUCCACAAUGGACGAAAGUCUGAUGGAGCAACGCCGCGUGAACGAUGAAGGCUUUCGGGUCGUAAAGUUCUGUUGUAAGGGAAGAACAAGUGCCGCAGGCAAUGGCGGCACCUUGACGGUACCUUGCGAGAAAGCCACGGCUAACUACGUGCCAGCCGCCGCGGUAA